RNAcentral lists this transfer RNA (62 nucleotides) under Paralaevicephalus gracilipenis. RNAcentral's name for it is "tRNA-His". Lineage: Eukaryota; Metazoa; Arthropoda; Insecta; Hemiptera; Cicadellidae. The record is from RNAcentral.
ACUUAGAUAGUUUAAUAAAAAUUUAGGUUUGUGGUUCCUAAGAUGAGGUUUUCUCUGAGUUU